GUUGGCAAUGACAGAACUUGGGAAAACAUAAAGAAGAAGGCAAUUGUGCAUGACUCUAAAAUGACCUAUGAAAGGUAAAAGUCAUGAUCCAUCUGGGAAAGUCUAAAGAAAGGAAUUAAAAUGUCUUAACUAUGAAUGUCAAGCCACUUUGGGAAUCAGCUUCCAGAAACUGAAAGAGGCAGAACCUGCCAGUCAGGGCCUGGAGUAUGGAGGUAUUAUGCACAAGCCCUGAAGAAAGAUGGCUGAAAAAAGGCUUUUGACAACAGGAAUAUAUCUUGGUUAAUAAGCUCCUUUGGAAAUCUGAACAAUCUUCCAGGAUGUCUUCUGUUCUCAUUUCCCUUUUCUUAUAUUAAUUAAUUUUCUGAUCACCACUGAUGGAUAUGUUUCAAGUGAGCCAUAGUAUGUCAAACUGAUUUAUAGAAUAAAAUGUCUAUUUACUAUUCCUG
Molecule: long non-coding RNA, 446 nt
Organism: Cyanistes caeruleus (blue tit)
Lineage: Eukaryota; Metazoa; Chordata; Aves; Passeriformes; Paridae
Source: Ensembl